RNAcentral lists this ribosomal RNA (117 nucleotides) under Caryophanales bacterium. Lineage: Bacteria; Bacillati; Bacillota; Bacilli; Caryophanales. The record is from RNAcentral.
CCUGGUGACGAUAGCGAAGAGGUCACACCCGUUCCCAUUCCGAACACGGAAGUUAAGCUCUUCAGCGCCGAUGGUAGUUGGGGGCUGUCCCCCUGUGAGAGUAGGACGUUGCCAAGC